UGUGCCAGCCGCCGCGGUAAUACGAAGGGUGCAAGCGUUACUCGGAAUUACUGGGCGUAAAGCGUGCGUAGGUGGUUCGUUAAGUCUGAUGUGAAAGCCCUGGGCUCAACCUGGGAAUUGCAUUGGAAACUGGCGGGCUAGAGUACGGUAGAGGGUAGUGGAAUUCCUGGUGUAGCAGUGAAAUGCGUAGAGAUCAGGAGGAACAUCCGUGGCGAAGGCGACUACCUGGACCAGUACUGACACUGAGGCACGAAAGCGUGGGGAGCAAACAGGA
RNAcentral lists this ribosomal RNA (274 nucleotides) under uncultured Lysobacterales bacterium. RNAcentral's name for it is "uncultured Xanthomonadales bacterium partial 16S ribosomal RNA". It matches the Rfam family "Bacterial small subunit ribosomal RNA", at positions 504 to 777 of the family's 1533-position model. The record is from RNAcentral. Lineage: Bacteria; Pseudomonadati; Pseudomonadota; Gammaproteobacteria; Lysobacterales.